Molecule: long non-coding RNA, 3123 nt
Organism: Aphis gossypii (cotton aphid)
Lineage: Eukaryota; Metazoa; Arthropoda; Insecta; Hemiptera; Aphididae
Exons: 8
Source: RefSeq, a predicted model, not a curated record
CCAAUCUAGAGCAUGAUAAGUGUAUACAAUAGAUUUACCUAUUAUAAAGUAUAUAUUUAAUUAUUUAAUUAACAUAGUCUGAAAAUUACUAAUAUAUAUAAUGAUGCUCUAGGUAUUAUUAAUCAUGAUCAUGACUAUGUACCAAUGGAUUUGGUACACAAUGAUAAUGGUAUGUAUUCAACCGUUUGAGGAAUACAAAAUAGUAUAAGUAAUUAUUAUUUUUUUAAAAAAAUAAAUAUUUUACCGGAGCCCAUCGAAAAUUAUAAUCCAGAACCCAAAGAGCUUACACAUGAAAUCUUUAAUUUUUUGGAAAAGCCCAAGACUUAUAAAAUAGUUUUUGGUACGCAAAGAAGAACAGAAAUCAUAUGGGAUAAUUUGAGCUUCCUUUAUUAAAAAAAUAAAAAAACUUAGAACAAAAUAUACUUGGUAUGUCUUGAAAAAAAAUCAGAAAAUUCAUGUCAAGCAACUGCUCAUAUAUCUUCUGACCAAUAUGAUAACAAAUUGAUUUUGUGUAAACAACACAAUCAUAAAGUAAGGCCAUUCAAUGAGGAGGUAUCAUUAUUGAGGCAAACGUUAACAGAGAAGGCAUUAAAAAAAUCCUUAUGUUCAUAUUCCUCUUGAGGAAUAUACAUGGAAGAGAUUGUCAAGUAAUACAUAUUCUUUAUACUAUUCUACAAAUGAAAUAAAUGUCCUUCAAUAAUUACAAUUUGUUUAUCUGAAAAAUGUAAGAUAUUCCAAAUACUGCCCUGCAAGACUUCAAGUUUUUACAAGGGUCUGAAAGGAUGCAUCGUCUGAGGCAAAAGUCAUUUCCUGCAACACCUGAUGAUGUUGAAGACCUUCAUAUUUUACUAAUGGCAAAUAGCCAAUUUACAUUAACACUAAAAAAUCCAUCAAAUAAAGUGUUCCAUUGGUGUAUGCGAUACUAUCAGGGAAAACCGAGAAAUACAUGUUGAGUUGCUGUCAUACAUCAGAAAUGUUUUACUAUUAACAUACAUCCAACUCAUAAUAAUAACUGAUUAUGAAUAUGGAUUGAUGAAUGCAAUAAAAACUAUAUUCCCUAAAAGCGAUAAACAAGAGUGUUAUUUCAUUUUUUCCAGGCAAUAAUACGUUUCAUGAGAAAUAAAAAAACUAGUAUAUACCACUUGGCACUUAAUUACUAAAAAUCCAAUUGCUGCCAGAGUGUUGAGAAUGGUAAUUUUUGAAUAGGUAUUAGCUUUACCAUAUUUGGCCGCUGUAAAAACUGAUGAUAUUCUAUCAAUGGAGGAUGGAUUUCAAACAAUUGUUGAUUACAUAAACCAAUAUCCCAAUUUAAUAAUGUGUUUUGAGGAGUUUUUAUUUGAUUAUAUUUGGAGAUAUUGGUUUGAAACGAUGGGACCUACAGCAAUAACAGUUUUUAAGAGAGAUAUUCAAACAAAUAACUUUGUUGAAAGUUACCAUGCUUCAUUGUGAAGGCUCAUCAAACCUUAUCCCAAAGUGUGGGAAUUCCUUAGUAGGAUUUAACUCUAACUUUUAAUUUUGUUCUAAAUGUAAACUAAUAGUGGCAGUUAAAUAUGCACCUAAUACAGUAAAUAAUUGUUAAUUAACAUGAAUAAUAUUUAAAUUUUUAUAGUCUUCUAUCCUAAGGUAUCAAUGUUUUAAUUGCAAGAUGUUCCAUGAUAAAGACUAAGUGUAUUUUAACCAAAAUUAUAUUAAUAUGUUUAUUGUAUUAAUUUGUUACCUAACCAAAGGAUGUACAUUGUAUAGUGUAUGUGAUAUAAGUAAGUCUAAAACCAUAAUUGUAAAUGUAUUUUUUUUUUUAGAUUGUUUUUGUGAGUAAAUUACUAAUAAUUUUGUUAAGUAUAGACAGUAUAGUGUAGUGGUUUUCAAACUUUUAUUAUACACGGCAUACCUGUAUACUUCAAAAAAUUUUCACGGCACACUGACUUUUUUUUAGAUGAACAAAAUUGUUUUGAAUUAAUUAUUAAUUUAAUUUUUUAUAUCACAAUUCAAUGCAAUCAGUAAUUCAUGGGAAAACUAUGGCACCCAGUUUGAAAACCAUUGGUGUCUGGUAUAGUGUAUGAAUCUGCAAUUUUUUUAUUGCAAGAUGUUCUACAAUAACAGCAAUGUAUUAAAAGCAAAAUUAUACUUAUAUGUUUUUUGUAUUAAUUUGUUACCUAACCUAAGGUAUAAGUGAGUCUAAAAUUGUAUUUAAAAAUGUAUUAUUUUUAUUAUUUUAUAUUUAUUGUGAUGAAAUGGCAAUUAUUUAAUCUAAUUAGUUCUUAAAUUCUUUAAUUUUUUUAUAGAUCAACUACUGUUUUUAGAAAAUCAGUCAUUUGUUGAAUUCAGACAACUAUAACAAAAUUUGAAGAUUCAAAAUGGAGGCUCAACGCAGGAAAGAACAGUUAAUACUGAAGCAAUUAAAGAUUUUUUGGUAGAUUACACUCAAGAUCUAAAUUCAGAUCACCUUCUAUAUUUUUUGAGACGUGCAAAGACACAGAGUAGAUGAUUAUAUUAUACAAAAGAUAGGUUUAGGUGCUUAUCCAAGUGCAGAGGUUUAAUAUAUUAGAGUUGUUGGUUCACAGUUAAUACCAUUUGGCAUCCACCCACUUAUUACAAAAACUUUCUUAAUUUUACAAUAUUUUUGACAAUUAUUAUUUUAUUAUUAUUAUAUACAUUUUUACUAACUAAAUUAAAUAGGUACUAAAAAAACAUGUUUACCAGCCCCUUUAAAUUUCAUUUUACAUAAAUUAACAUAAUCUAAUAUUAAAAAAAAAAAAAACACACAUCAUUGUAAAAUCAUAUUUCAAUUCACUUCGUUCAGAAUCUAAUAAUAAAAAAUGACAUAAUGGCCCAAUAAUAUGAAGCAAAAUAAAAUUUAAUUUUGAAUAAUAUAGGAAUUUAACUAAAUUAACAAAAUACAGAAUAGUUUACAAGCUUACCCUACUGUAUUACACCUAAGACCUAACCUAAUCAAUAAUCAUACAAAACUUUCGCAACUCGCAUGUUAACUGAAAUUCGAGUCUCGAGAUCAGUGAAUAUUGAAUUAUUGAAUAAAAUGAUAAAUAAGAAUGCCAAUAGGUUAUUGUUUUUAGGAAUUUGUAUUAAUUUUAGAUUUUAGAAAUAAAACAAUGAAAUAAUUAAUAA